RNAcentral lists this ribosomal RNA (487 nucleotides) under uncultured bacterium. Its description in RNAcentral is "partial 16S ribosomal RNA". It matches the Rfam family "Bacterial small subunit ribosomal RNA", at positions 28 to 507 of the family's 1533-position model. The record is from RNAcentral.
GAUGAACGCUAGCGACAUGCUUAACACAUGCAAGUCGAGGGGCAUCGCGCCGGUUUCGACCCCGCUUCCAGCGACCGGCGCACUGGUGAGUCACACGUAUGCUACCUGCCCCCUACAGGUGAAUAACCCGCGGAAACGCUGCCUCAUGCCCCAUACUCCCGCUAGAUCCAUGGCUUUCGGGGGAUACGUCCGCCGGUAGUGGAUGGGCAUGGGGGGCAUUCGCUAGUUGGCGGGGCAACUGCCCACCAUGUCUACGAUGCGUAGGGGUUCGGGGAGGAGCGUCCCCGAGACGGGGACUGGGACAAGGGCCAGACUCCUACGGGAGGCAGCAGUGAGGAAGAUUGGUGAAGGGGCGUUAGCAUGAACCGGCCAAGUCGCGUGAGGGAAGUAGGUGCUCAGGAUCGUGAACCUCUUUAGCCGGGGAGCAACGCGGCGCACGCGUGGGCCGGUGAGGGUACCCGGAGAAUAAGCAUCGGCUAACUACGUG